AAGUCGUAACAAGGUUUCCGUAGGUGAACCUGCGGAAGGAUCAUUAUUGAUUGCGAAUCGUUGUCUUCAGUGCUGGCCAGCUCUCUGGCAAGUGCACGUUGGUGGCCUUUCAUCCAACCCCCUGUGCACCUUUGGCCUCUUGCUAGCUUCGGCCAGCAGAGGAUUUUUAUACCAACUCGAAUGUAAUGAAAUUAUUGUCGUGCGCAAGCACUAAUGUACAACUUUCAACAACGGAUCUCUUGGCUCUC
This 248-nucleotide unclassified non-coding RNA is filed under the name Sebacina sp. Its description in RNAcentral is "partial contains small subunit ribosomal RNA, internal transcribed spacer 1, and 5.8S ribosomal RNA". The stretch from base 1 to 46 matches the Rfam family "Eukaryotic small subunit ribosomal RNA", at positions 1786 to 1831 of the family's 1831-position model. Lineage: Eukaryota; Fungi; Basidiomycota; Agaricomycetes; Sebacinales; Sebacinaceae. The record is from RNAcentral.